AACCAUAGAAACCUGCGGAGUACCUGCGGAGGGAUCAUUAUAGUAUAUGGAAUCUCCAUUCUAUAAACCCACUCUGCGUAUCUUGUAACUGUUGCUUCCAUGGGACUUGGUUCCGCCACACCGGCUUCACGGCUGGUGAGCGCCCAUGGAAGGAGGAACAAAACUCUUCUUUGAAAUGUAGUCAGUCUGAACAAGUUUUUAUAAACGUUAAAACUUUUAGCAAUGGAUCUCAGAUCGGAA
Molecule: unclassified non-coding RNA, 240 nt
Filed under: soil metagenome
Description: partial contains 5.8S ribosomal RNA, internal transcribed spacer 2, and large subunit ribosomal RNA
Source: RNAcentral